This 351-nucleotide long non-coding RNA is filed under the name Vigna radiata. RNAcentral's name for it is "long non-coding RNA (VRAD_LNC008505)". The record is from RNAcentral. Lineage: Eukaryota; Viridiplantae; Streptophyta; Magnoliopsida; Fabales; Fabaceae.
GCCUAGGGAUAGGGGUAGGACGGUCAAUUGUAAUUGCUUUAGAACACAUUGCAUUAUUGGUUACUAGGGGAGGCUAGGGAUAACAAGCCGGUAAUUAAUAAUAGGCUCUUUUCACCAAGGGAUUGGGUUAAGGGUAAUUAAGAAAGUAUGCAUGGCAAUUAGAUAAAUAAGUGAAUUAAAUAAGAAGAGUAGAUAUAUGAGAGUGGAUAAGAUGAAAUUGUAGACCCCAACAACACCAUUCAUCCAUAGUUUCUCAAAACCAAUUGAAUCAACUGCAUUGCAUGUUUAUUUUUGUUCUUUGCAUAUAACCACCAAAUUAAUUCUCUUUUCUCAAGUCUUACGCGAUUAGGU